RNAcentral lists this long non-coding RNA (458 nucleotides) under Portunus trituberculatus (swimming crab). RNAcentral describes it as "uncharacterized LOC123510122". Lineage: Eukaryota; Metazoa; Arthropoda; Malacostraca; Decapoda; Portunidae. The record is from RNAcentral.
GGGGAAAUUGCGGAAGCGAUCACUGACAAUGCAAGGGAUAAUUUUUCCAAGACUGUGGGGCUAUGCAUGGGAUACGUUCAAGCCUGGGAUGUACCCCAAAGCUCACCUCCUCAACAAGGGAUGAGUUUCUCCCAAGACCAUCAACUACUUGUAACUGGACAAGCUUAUGUGGUGCCUUUUUUGUUGAAAUUGGAGGAUAUCUAUGAGCCAAUUAAAAAAGCCAUCAAUAUCACUCAGAAUAUAAUAUAUAAUUUAGAUAAAAUUGCAGGAGAUGAUCUUAUCAUCAAUCAGAAUAUGAUAUAUAAUUUAGAUGAAAUUGAGGGAGAUGAUUUUAUCUUGUUUACCUCUUUGAUUUCUCAGCAUAUCCUGGCUUUUCAAGAAAGAUUAAAAAAUUUGCAUGCUUCAAUGCAGGAUUUCCUAAUGCAUAUUGUGGCCAAUGACAUUCCUCAACCUAGAAG